CUAUAAUGCAGUUGACGCAACAAAGACACCAGAGCUUGCUCUACCGUUUUUGUUGAGUAGCGAACGGGUGAGUAACGCGUGGGUAACCUGCCUUAUAGCGGGGGAUAACUAUUGGAAACGAUAGCUAAUACCGCAUAACAAUAGAGAUUGCAUAAUCUUUAUUUGAAAGUGCCAACUGGUACACUAUGAGAUGGACCCGCGUUGUAUUAGCUAGUUGGUAGUGUAAUGGACUACCAAGGCGAUGAUACAUAGCCGACCUGAGAGGGUGAUCGGCCACAUUGGGACUGAGACACGGCCCAAACUCCUACGGGAGGCAGCAGUAGGGAAUCUUCGGCAAUGGACGAAAGUCUGACCGAGCAACGCCGCGUGAGUGAAGAAGGUUUUCGGAUCGUAAAACUCUGUUGUUAGAGAAGAAUGUUGAUUAGAGUGGAAAAUUAAUCAAGUGACGGUAUCUAACCAGAAAGGGACGGCUAACUACGUGCCAGCAGCCGCGGUAAUACGUAGGUCCCGAGCGUUGUCCGGAUUUAUUGGGCGGANAGCGAGCGCAGGUGGUUUAAUAAGUCUGAUGUAAAAGGCAGUGGCUCAACCAUUGUGUGCAUUGUAAACUGUUAGACUUGAGUGCAGGAUAGGAGAGCGGAAUUCCAUGUGUAUCGGCGAAAUGCGUGUAUAUAUGGAGGAACACCG
RNAcentral lists this ribosomal RNA (684 nucleotides) under bacterium F123. RNAcentral describes it as "bacterial SSU rRNA". It matches the Rfam family "Bacterial small subunit ribosomal RNA", at positions 46 to 711 of the family's 1533-position model. The record is from RNAcentral.